GGCAUUGUUCGGUAGGUAAGGCUACUGCAGGGAUAUGGGCUGUUGCCGCGAAAUGGUGGAGACACCAUGAGCUGGUUUGAACAGGGUACAUCGAAAGCAAGGUGUAUCAUAAUACAGUUUCACCGCCCUGCAAAGUUAAAGCUCAGACGAAUGAAGAGAAGU
Lachnoclostridium sp. An196 is the source of this 162-nucleotide regulatory RNA element. It matches the Rfam family "M-box riboswitch aptamer (ykoK leader)". Rfam says of the family: M-box riboswitch, also know as ykoK leader is described as a metaloregulatory RNA that sense divalent metals and function as a genetic control element of genes related to divalent metal transport in bacteria. It was first reported upstream of the B.subtilis ykoK gene and genes with related functions in other bacteria. NCBI's taxonomy places the organism in Bacteria, Bacillati, Bacillota, Clostridia, Lachnospirales, Lachnospiraceae. The record is from Rfam.